This 68-nucleotide transfer RNA is filed under the name Marmota monax (woodchuck). Its description in RNAcentral is "tRNA.Pro". Lineage: Eukaryota; Metazoa; Chordata; Mammalia; Rodentia; Sciuridae. The record is from RNAcentral.
GGAUAUAGCUCAGUUGGUAGAGUAUGUGGCUUGGAUGAACAAGGCCCUGCGUUCAAUUCCCAGAACCA